RNAcentral lists this long non-coding RNA (271 nucleotides) under Elaeis guineensis (African oil palm). Its description in RNAcentral is "long non-coding RNA (EGUI_LNC057176)". The record is from RNAcentral. Lineage: Eukaryota; Viridiplantae; Streptophyta; Magnoliopsida; Arecales; Arecaceae.
AUACCUAGCAGUAUGUAGUGACAACCCAAUAGAAUUGAAAAAGAACCUCAAGAUAUAGUUCAUAUAUGAUUCAGUCCCUCUAUCACGAUUCCUGACUAGAUGAUAGGUCAUAGAUAAAUCAUCAAAUCUCAUCAUCAGUCAUAUGAUAGAUUCGAUUAACUCAAAUCCAAUUAUGAUCCUCAUGAAAACUUUUUUCUAUCUAUCACAUUACUAUGGUCACAGACUCUCAGACUUAGCAUCUCAAAUUUUAUAAGACUACUCUCUAUCAAGG